AGCGAACGCUGGCGGCAGGCCUAACACAUGCAAGUCGAACGAACCUUCCGGGGUUAGUGGCGGUUGGGUGUGUAACACGUGGGAACGUGCCUUUAGGCUUGGAAUACUUCAGGGAAACUUGUGCUAAUACCGAAUGUGCUCUUCGGGGGAAAGAUUUAUCGCCCUUAGAGCGGCCCGCGACCGUUUAGCCAGUUGGUUGUGGGAAUGGCGCACUAAGGUGACGUUGAGUAGCUGGUCAGUGAGAAUGAGCAGCCACAUUGGGACUGAGACACGGCGCAAAGUCUUGCGGAAGGCAGCAGAGGGUGAUCUAGCGAAAUCGGGUAAGGGAUGACGCAGCCAUGCCGGGAGAAUGAUGAUGGUCUUAGAGAAGAAAAAUUCUUUCAUAGGGGGCGGUAAUGACGGUACCCAAAGAAGAAGCCCCGGCUAACUUCGUG
RNAcentral lists this ribosomal RNA (434 nucleotides) under uncultured bacterium. RNAcentral describes it as "partial 16S ribosomal RNA". It matches the Rfam family "Bacterial small subunit ribosomal RNA", at positions 29 to 507 of the family's 1533-position model. The record is from RNAcentral.